UCUCUGAUGGUCCAGUGGCUAAGACGCUGUGCUCCCAAGGCAGGGGACGCGGGUUCCAUCCCUGGUCAGGGAA
Molecule: transfer RNA, 73 nt
Filed under: Bos taurus (domestic cattle)
Lineage: Eukaryota; Metazoa; Chordata; Mammalia; Artiodactyla; Bovidae
Also listed under: 4 other names
Rfam family: tRNA
About the family: Transfer RNA (tRNA) molecules are approximately 80 nucleotides in length. Their secondary structure includes four short double-helical elements and three loops (D, anti-codon, and T loops). Further hydrogen bonds mediate the characteristic L-shaped molecular structure. tRNAs have two regions of fundamental functional importance: the anti-codon, which is responsible for specific mRNA codon recognition, and the 3' end, to which the tRNAs corresponding amino acid is attached (by aminoacyl-tRNA synthetases). tRNAs cope with the degeneracy of the genetic code in two manners: having more than one tRNA (with a specific anti-codon) for a particular amino acid; and 'wobble' base-pairing, i.e. permitting non-standard base-pairing at the 3rd anti-codon position.
Source: Rfam by way of RNAcentral